This 492-nucleotide ribosomal RNA is filed under the name uncultured bacterium. RNAcentral describes it as "partial 16S ribosomal RNA". It matches the Rfam family "Bacterial small subunit ribosomal RNA", at positions 29 to 507 of the family's 1533-position model. The record is from RNAcentral.
AGUGAACGCUGGCGGUAGGCCUAACACAUGCAAGUCGAACGGCAGCACAGUAAGAGCUUGCUCUUACGGGUGGCGAGUGUCGGACGGGUGAGGAAUACAUCGGAAUCUACUUUUUCGUGGGGGAUAACGUAGGGAAACUUACGCUAAUACCGCAUACGACCUACGGGUGAAAGCAGGGGAUCUUCGGACCUUGCGCGAUUGAAUGAGCCGAUGUCGGAUUAGCUAGUUGGCGGGGUAAAGGCCCACCAAGGCGACGAUCCGUAGCUGGUCUGAGAGGAUGAUCAGCCACACUGGAACUGAGACACGGUCCAGACUCCUACGGGAGGAAGCAGUGGGGAAUAUUGGACAAUGGGCGAAAGCCUGAUCCAGCCAUACCGCGUGGGUGAAGAAGGACUUCGGGUUGUAAAGCCCUUUUGUUGGGAAAGAAAAGCAGCAGGUUAAUACCCCGCUGUUCUGACGGUACCCAAAGAAUAAGCACCGGCUAACUUCGUG